AUAUAUCAGAUGGCCAGCUGCCCUUUAUUAGUUCUUCUUCGGAAAUUGAAACAGAAUUUAAUGCUUGUAGCCCUGUCCUAGUGGUCUGCAAGUUUGGCUUUUCUGUAACAUUU
RNAcentral lists this small nucleolar RNA (113 nucleotides) under Eucalyptus grandis. The record is from RNAcentral. Lineage: Eukaryota; Viridiplantae; Streptophyta; Magnoliopsida; Myrtales; Myrtaceae.